AAUUUUUCAACCAAACAAAUUAACGCUCCUAGUACUACAGACAACACAGUAUCGUGACUACUAUCAAACAACAACAAAUCCCCCAAGAAGAAAAUUGGGAAUGAGAAUUGACGAUUUUGACACAAUUAUUGAAAUCAUACUAUAAAAUUGGGAUGCAGAUGCUUAUGUAUGAAAGAUGUCGUGUGAGUUAGGCUUGAUGGAAGGCUAACCAUUGACAACCUCUAUUUUUGCCGUGGGUUUUU
RNAcentral lists this long non-coding RNA (242 nucleotides) under Glycine max (soybean). RNAcentral describes it as "long non-coding RNA (GMAX_LNC002924)". The record is from RNAcentral. Lineage: Eukaryota; Viridiplantae; Streptophyta; Magnoliopsida; Fabales; Fabaceae.